RNAcentral lists this ribosomal RNA (201 nucleotides) under uncultured bacterium. RNAcentral describes it as "partial 16S ribosomal RNA". It matches the Rfam family "Bacterial small subunit ribosomal RNA", at positions 328 to 539 of the family's 1533-position model. The record is from RNAcentral.
ACGCUCGACACCUACUGGAGGCAGCAGUGGGGAAUAUUGGGCAAUGGGCGAAAGCCUGACCCAGCAACGCCGCGUGAGGGAAGAAGGUUUUCGGAUUGUAAACCUCUGUCCUCAGGGACGAAGGACGUGACGGUACCUGAGGAGGAAGCCCCGGCUAACUACGUGCCAGCAGCCGCGGUAAUCUGAGCGGGCUGGCAAGGC